This 462-nucleotide ribosomal RNA is filed under the name uncultured bacterium. Its description in RNAcentral is "SSU rRNA". It matches the Rfam family "Bacterial small subunit ribosomal RNA", at positions 26 to 518 of the family's 1533-position model. The record is from RNAcentral.
AGGAUUAACGCUGGCGGCGUGCCUAACACAUGCAAGUCGAACGAGGUAGCAAUACCUAGUGGCAGACGGGUGAGUAGCGCGUGGUCAACCUACCGUUGAGUGGGGGAUAACUAGCCGAAAGGUUAGCUAAUACCGCAUACGUCUCCGAGGGGCAUCCCUUGGUGAUAAAAGGAGCAAUCCGCUCGAUGACGGGACCGCGUCCCAUUAGCUAGUUGGUAGGGUAACGGCCUACCAAGGCAUCGAUGGGUAGCUGGUUUGAGAGAGCGACCAGCCACACUGGGACUGAGAUACGGCCCAGACUCCUACGGGAGGCAGCAGUGAGGAAUUUUCCGCAAUGGGCGAAAGCCUGACGGAGCGACGCCGCGUGUGGGAAGAAGGCCUUCGGGUCGUAACCACUGUCGAAGGGAAGAUAAUGACGGUACCCUUGGAGGAAGCCCCGGCUAACUACGUGCCAGCAGCCGC